This 854-nucleotide ribosomal RNA is filed under the name uncultured organism. Its description in RNAcentral is "bacterial SSU rRNA". It matches the Rfam family "Bacterial small subunit ribosomal RNA", at positions 527 to 1382 of the family's 1533-position model. The record is from RNAcentral.
GAAGGGACCUAGCGUAGUUCGGAAUUACUGGGCUUAAAGAGUUCGUAGGUGGUUAAAAAAGUUGGUGGUGAAAUCCCAGAGCUUAACUCUGGAACUGCCAUCAAAACUUUUUAGCUAGAGUAUGAUAGAGGAAAGCAGAAUUUCUAGUGUAGAGGUGAAAUUCGUAGAUAUUAGAAAGAAUACCAAUUGCGAAGGCAGCUUUCUGGAUCAUUACUGACACUGAGGAACGAAAGCAUGGGUAGCGAAGAGGAUUAGAUACCCUCGUAGUCCAUGCCGUAAACGAUGUGUGUUAGACGUUGGAAAUUUAUUUUCAGUGUCGCAGUGAAAACUAUAAACACACCGCCUGGGGAGUACGACCGCAAGGUUAAAACUCAAAUGAAUUGACGGGGACCCGCACAAGUAGUGGAGCAUGUGGUUUAAUUCGAAGAUACGCGCAGAACCUUACCAACACUUGACAUGUUCGUCGCGACUCUAAGAGAUUAGAGUUUUCGGUUCGGCCGGACGAAACACAGGUGCUGCAUGGCUGUCGUCAGCUCGUGUCGUGAGAUGUUGGGUUAAGUCCCGCAACGAGCGCAACCCUUACUUUUAGUUGCCAUCAUUUAGUUGGGCACUCUGAAAGAACUGCCAGUGAUAAGCUGGAGGAAGGUGGGGAUGACGUCAAGUCCUCAUGGCCCUUAUGUGUUGGGCUACACACGUGCUACAAUGGCAUUUACAAUAGGAAGCAAGAUGGCGACAUUAAGCAAAUCCUAAAAAAAUGCCUCAGUUCGGAUUGCACUCUGCAACUCGAGUGCAUGAAGCUGGAAUUACUAGUAAUCGUGGAUCAGCGUGCCACGGUGAAUACGUUCCCGGGUCUU